RNAcentral lists this transfer RNA (85 nucleotides) under Felis catus (domestic cat). It matches the Rfam family "tRNA". From Rfam's summary of the family: Transfer RNA (tRNA) molecules are approximately 80 nucleotides in length. Their secondary structure includes four short double-helical elements and three loops (D, anti-codon, and T loops). Further hydrogen bonds mediate the characteristic L-shaped molecular structure. tRNAs have two regions of fundamental functional importance: the anti-codon, which is responsible for specific mRNA codon recognition, and the 3' end, to which the tRNAs corresponding amino acid is attached (by aminoacyl-tRNA synthetases). tRNAs cope with the degeneracy of the genetic code in two manners: having more than one tRNA (with a specific anti-codon) for a particular amino acid; and 'wobble' base-pairing, i.e. permitting non-standard base-pairing at the 3rd anti-codon position. Lineage: Eukaryota; Metazoa; Chordata; Mammalia; Carnivora; Felidae. The record is from Rfam by way of RNAcentral.
GCCUGGGUGGCUCAGUCAGUUGAGCGUCUGACUUCAGCUCAGGUCAUGAUCUCAUACUCCCUGAGUUCGAGCCCCACCUUGGGCU